Aethalodelphis obliquidens (Pacific white-sided dolphin) is the source of this 3188-nucleotide long non-coding RNA. RefSeq lists it as uncharacterized. The record is from RefSeq and is a predicted model, not a curated record. The transcript has 3 exons. Lineage: Eukaryota; Metazoa; Chordata; Mammalia; Artiodactyla; Delphinidae.
CCCGCCGGCCUGACGCGGGGCGUCCUAGGCUCCGCUGGGCCGCCGCCUGGCUCGCGGAAGACACGCCGAGAAACGUUCCAUCGGGGCCCCAGAAACCUCAGAACAGGUUUUAUUAAACGCCUCCCCUCCCCUAGCUCCGUCUCUUGGAUACAUUGAAAGGCACAGGGUUUCCCCACCCCCCGCCGAGCGCAGACGCAAUGAAAAUAAUUAUAUAGGAAGGGACAUUCCGGUAAGGACGCGGAAUCCGAAGGAGGAAGUAAAACAAUAGCCUUUGUUCUGCUUCUCGACCGCGGCCUCUUUAAGAGAAUCCACCAGGAAAUGGGAGAUCGGGUUACAGCCCGCACCGGGGUAAAGGGGCGAGCUAGCGAGCGAGCGAGUCGCGGAGCGCGACGUCGGAGACAAAGCGGGGCGGCCACCGGCAGAAGCCCAGCCUGGCCGCGGGGGAUUCCCCGCGAAGGUGGGCGCCCGGAAAAGAGGAGGCGCGCGCGCCCGCCAGGCCGGGGAUGCGGGCGCUGCCCCAGCCGAGCACGCGUCCUGGAGAAGGAAAGGCUGUUGGGAGGUUAUCAAAGGCAGUUGAGUUCCUUUUCCUGACCCCCCUUCCUCCCUGUUUCGAAAUCCUCUGUCUUUUUAAAGCAAUAGCGGCCGCUACCAACCGAAAUAGGUGACUCGACUGCAAAGUUGACAGGACGUGUUCCUGGAGAUAAUACCCCUCCCCAGGACUGCUUCUCUGAAACCAUCCUUGGCGGAUGGGACGACCCCGGGAUCCUGCCGGGGGAGGAAUAUUUGGUUGGAAAAACAAUUGAGAGGAGGUUAAAUCCUGUCGGGCUGAAGGUUCUAGCCUUGAGUGACUCAACAAAAGUGGCGUGUAAAGGAGACUGUGUGUGGUUCCAAAGCAAACUACGCAGUAGCAGCUGUGGAAGACAUUGCAUUUAGCCAGGGGUGUUAGGGAAUGAAUUAUGGUCUCUUGUGACUUUCUACAUACAAACUGGAAGAGGAACCUGAAUGUCUAGUCUUUAUCCUCCAAAAGAGUGAUGAGGAGUGGCGAGAAGUAGGGAAGAAUGAAGUUAAGAACCAUGUGGAAGUGGAUGUGCUUAAUUAAAAAACAUGGCCAUUAUUGUAGUAUAAUGUUAUGUUUUUACAAUGAAAAUAAUAACAUUUAAAAAAUAUAAACUCCAAAAACAAAAACCCCACAAAAAAACACCAUCCACAUAUCUCUGCCAAAUCAGAAUUCCUUAACCUAAUGGGCAUGCUUCUGUAAAAAGGAUCUGUCAUAACUGGUGGGGUGGGAAAGAAGAGGAGAAAUGUUUCUGCUUAUCCAAAGAAGACAUGGGUUUUUAAAUCUUAAGAGUCACUGCCUUAAACUAUAUAUUUUCUUUACUAUAUCAGUCAGGGUGCAUUCAGGCAGAAUUACCUCCAUGUGUGUGUUGUGGGAGUGUAUUGUGUAUAUAGAGAGAGAGAGAGAGAGAGAGAAUGAUUGUGUAUUUCUGAUGGCAUGCUGACUGAUACAGUAAAGGAAGCAUACAUAUAUACAGCAGGCAGCUGGAAGAGCAGAUCUUCCAGCUGGGUGAAACCAAGAAAUCAAGAAAUGGAUGAAAUCUAUGCUCAACUAUGGGUGAAACCAAGAAAAAGCUAGAACUCAAAAGCAUGAGCUGGAGCCCAUGAGAAUGGACUGAAACCCACGUCAAUCUCAUUGCCUCUGACCUUGAUGUCCUGGGUGUCCUGCGCGCGCGCACACACACACACACACACACACACACACACACACACACACACACACGCCUGGCUCAGGAGUUGCAGAAGCUGAAGGAGGAUCAUGGUGAAGGCGGAGCGGUCAGUGGCCCAGACACUGCCCCACACCAAUGAGGGAGGCAACAGAGGAGUGACAAUAUGUGUGAGCUACAAAAUAUCUGCUGCUUCAUUUCUACCUUCCAAGUCACUCCACACUCUCUCCUGUGUCCCACGCUAACUGGAAACAUACAGAGAAGGGAAUUCUGAGAAUGUAUUUCAAUCUAGCUAAGUUGUCACGUUACAAAGUCACUACGCAAAAUGAUCAGCUUCCCAUAGCCCUCUCCUGCUGUUAUAUUUUUAGAAUUUUUCAGUUCUCUGUCACAUCAUCCCCCAUCUAACCUUCAAACUAUUGUAUUCCAUAUGCCUUCUCCCUAUGGCAUCCCCAUCUCUCUUAAUAAUGCCAUCAUAUUAUCAACCUCCAAGUUAAUGAACCUCAAAAUAAUUUUUGACAUGCUGCUCUCGUCUAUGCCAUAAAUAUCGUCUCUUCCCAGAUCUUUCUGUCUCAUUCACAGAGUCUCCCUUAUCCUGCCAGCAGUGGCAACUCCAGUUUGGGUUAUUGCCACUUCCUUUUUCCACGGAACUUGUAUAGUUUAUCUAUAAUCACUACUGAAUCUUCUAUCUCUGCUCAAAUCUCUUACUUCAUUACUCCCAUUGCUAUCCUCAGGCCUUGUCCCACAUUACUCAAAACUCCACCCACACACACAAACUAUGAAACUAUUUGUUUUCUGUCAAGUAGAACCUGAAAAUCACCUCCUUCAUAAAUCCACCUCACACUGUAUAAAUGGAAGGUAUCCAAAAGAUAAGGAGUUGGAAUGCUGGAGUGGAUUUAUUAUGUAAGAACUACCGCUCUCCCCUAAUUAUGACCUGGGAGGGUUCAGAAGACACUCCCUUCAACAAGGCUUUAAGUGGUGCAUUGUUGAAGCAAACACCAGCACCCUUGCAGAGUCCUAUAGUAGCCAUUCUCUAAGCCAUGAAUGCUGCCGUUAGACUGGGCUCUCUGAAUUCACUGGGGAUGGUGGGAUACUGGAGUGACAGGUGUCAAGUGACAUUGCUUAACUAUUUUAACUACCAGAGAUAAGAAAACAUGGUUAUCAUAAUGGAUAGCAAAGCUAAAGUGAUAAUUAAUCACCAUGGUUUGAUCUUUGGUAUUGGCUAAUUUAUUGGGAUCUCCCUAGGACUGAAAUUAAUAGACAUCCUAUUAAAGUCUUACUUGACUUGUAUACACAGAAAAGCUCUAGGUCCAGAGUCAAAAAUUCUGACCUGAGUCCCAAUAACAGACAGUGCUGGAUCCUCAACUGAAUCCCAGACUUGAUUCAGUCCACAUAUAGAUGCAGAGCCCCUUAAAUUAAGGGGAGGCAGGUCUCCUUGAGGAAGAAACCUGCUACACUGCCAAAAAUGUA